GCUUACAGUCAUAUCCCCCCACAUAUACUCAUUCACCUCUGAUCUCUGAAGCUAAACAGGGACAAGCCUGGUUAGUACUUAGACGGGAAAAUGGAAAACACGAGGGUAGAACUGGACUCUUAAGGCU
This 127-nucleotide ribosomal RNA is filed under the name Nannospalax galili (Upper Galilee mountains blind mole rat). Lineage: Eukaryota; Metazoa; Chordata; Mammalia; Rodentia; Spalacidae. The record is from RNAcentral.